This 391-nucleotide unclassified non-coding RNA is filed under the name soil metagenome. Its description in RNAcentral is "partial contains 5.8S ribosomal RNA, internal transcribed spacer 2, and large subunit ribosomal RNA". The stretch from base 1 to 122 matches the Rfam family "5.8S ribosomal RNA", at positions 35 to 154 of the family's 154-position model. The record is from RNAcentral.
GAUGAAGAACGCAGCGAAAUGCGAUACUUGGUGUGAAUUGCAGAAUCCCGUGAACCAUCGAGUCUUUGAACGCAAGUUGCGCCCGAAGCCAUUAGGCCGAGGGCACGCCUGCCUGGGCGUCACACGUCGUUGCCCCCCCAUCUACUCCUUCGGGAUUGCGGGGGGCGGAUGAUGGCCUCCCGUGCGCCUCGUCGCGCGGUUGGCAUAAAUGCCAAGUCCUCGGCGACGCACGCCACGACAAUCGGUGGUUGCGAAACCUCGGUUGCCCGUCGUGUGCGGUCGUCGCGCAUCGAGGGCUCGAAAAAAUUGCUGGGCUCCGGCUCGGCUUUCAACGCGACCCCAGGUCAGGCGGGGUUACCCGCUGAAUUUAAGCAUAUCAAUAAGCGGAGGA